Molecule: long non-coding RNA, 22937 nt
Filed under: Triticum aestivum (bread wheat)
Lineage: Eukaryota; Viridiplantae; Streptophyta; Magnoliopsida; Poales; Poaceae
Description: long non-coding RNA (TAES_LNC020762)
Source: RNAcentral
UUUUUUUUUCUCCGUAGCAAUGUAUGGGCAUUCAACUACUGUCCCUUUAUGUAGACAAAUGCAUGUAAAUUGUGCAUGUUGAUACUUUAACAAAUGAAUAAUUAAGUUUUUGGUUAAGAAGAAUGUUGCUAGCAUCACAUAUGUGAGUGUUCUCCCAUGACAACGCACGGACCCACGAGAAGAUGGAAGAAUUUUUCUCUCCCGUUGCAACGCACGGGCAUUUUUGCUAGUUUUACCAAUACCACAUAGAAAUAAAUCAAUAUGGUCUUGCAAUCAUAUUAAAAUUCUCAAUUAAGUCUCAGUUACAUAGUACUGAGUACAUAACUCUAGAACCAAUACCAAUUUUAGAAGCAAGUAAACAACAUUAAGUCCCUAUCUUCAUAGCAUGUCUCUGGUUCUCUUCAUUCUUCAAUAAUUAUAUGCAAUAGUUAUCUAUUCUCUAUCAAUCAUAAUGACACAAUUGAACACAAAUUAUGUACUAGAUAGUGGAUAGCACAGCAAAGAGCAUCAGCAAACCCUAAAUCAAAAAGUUGGGAAUGGGCACUUGAGCAGUACCUCAAAUCAGACUAAAUGCCACAGGAGCAAGGUUGCUGCCGCGGUGCCGCCUGCCAGCCGAGUGACGGAUUGCGGAUUAGGCGGCGCGGCGGGCGCCAGGUGCAGUGGGCGCUGGGCGCGGAGGGCGCGGUUGACGCCGUGCUCCGGACGGGCGCGAAGGGGAGGCAGGCGCCAGGCUGGGACGGCCUCCGGGCUCCGACGAGCAGGCGAGCGGCGAAUCGAGAGGUCGGGGAGACGGGGACGGACAGGAUAGUGGAUCGCGGCUCGAUUUGUCUCGCGUCUGGCUGCGUGCCGCGAGCCGCGUACGUCGAACCCAUGUGAGGGUGGGCGCCCCUAUUUUAUUUAAUUGGAAAACUUUGUUUUUGUCACUCUAACUUUUGCCAAACUUUUCCUAAUCUCUCCCUAAUAAUAAAGCGCGGAUUGGGUCUGUUAGAUUCACCGUCACGCCCUUUUUGCGGAAAAGCCCCUGUGGUUUUUAUGAAUUGAACCCGCCGUCCCUAUUUUAGUGAAUCUGGAAAAAUGUUUUGAUUUUGCAAACUAACCCAUGUAUUUUGUAAUAAUUCCGCCCGCGCUCCUCUGUUCAUCUUAUCCGCUGGGAGAGAAGUUGGAAAGGGGGCCAACUUCGGCUGGGCUCUCAUCGGAGAGCUCGUCGGCGCGGAAGUUGCAAGAGGUGGGGCGAGGCGGCCGAACGCGGGCAGAGGAGAGACGCAGCGAGGUAGAGGCGGAGGCUUGAGGCGGCGGGGACAGUGAGCUCGCGCGCAAGGAAGGAGUCAAUGCGGAGGAGUAUGAAGGCGCGACGGCCGGAGGAGGUUCAGGCGGCGGGGAAGGUGGCCGGAGCGGGGCAUCAAGGCACUGGAUCGGGCGGGCGGGCGAGGAUGCGCCUCUGACUUGUGUGUGGGGGCGCACAGAGGAGAGCCAGGGGGAGAGAUGACGGGAACGAUUGAGUUUUUUUUAGGCAAAGGGGAUCAAGUGGGAGAUGAGCAUCGAGCACAUGCUGGCUGCGCUAGGGAUCAGAUGGGCUACGAGGUUGGGCCGGGUCGCGCUAUGGGCAAAAGAGAGAGAGAGAAGAGAGUUGGCCAGCCUUUUCUCUAUAUUUCCCCAUACAAAAAAAUACAACUAUCAGCUUCUUCAUAAGAAUGAUUUAUUUGUGGGCUUUCCCAUGAGCCAUGGUAAAUUUUGUAUGAUUUAUUGCAUCAGCCAACUAAUUCACAAGCAUGAUUGCUAGCUUUGUGAGGAAAGGUCGAUCAACUAAGUACAUACAUGGUAACCCGUGUAAUGUUGUUUCCGGCUGACUAACUAGCAUGGCUGAAUGCAACACUGUCCAAGAGGCUCUUCCUGACAAUCCUAAUUCUGCUCUCCAUGCUCAUAUUAACAGGGAUAAUAGUUUGAUGCUACAACAGGGCUGCACCAUUAGGUCUGAUCUUCUAAUCUCAGAAGCCAAAAUAUUUUCUGGCCCUUCUUUCAAAUGUUCAAAAAUUCCAGGUUUAUCAAAUGGAGAUGUAGCUACGGGCAUUGGAGUUUUUUUCAAUUUUUUGCAGGACAAUAGAAGUAUCCAAGUUCAAAUUCAAGCAUCAUCACCACUAACUUCGUCACCUCUACAAGCAGAAGCACAAGCUCUUCUUGCCGCCAAAGCAGCGUAGAUCUUACAAGUCGAGCAACCGACGUUACCGACAAUCUUUCUCUUGCCAAGGCAGCGGCGAACAGGAAAGUAAUAGCAGAUUCCACUCCUUGAAUAAUUAGAGAAUUUCUUGCUGAUUUCUACAUGAUUACCCAACAUCUACAGUCCCAGGUGUUCCAUAUAUCUAGAGAAAUAAAUGGGAUUGCGCACAAUGUAGCUCAUCAGGUUCUUAAUCGCUCUUUGGAACCUGUCUAUAGUUGUUUCGGGUCAGCUCACAGCAACAGAAUAUGCCUUGUCAUUUCUACUCUUUCUACCUUAAAUUUACAGGGUUUUGUACUCCAUGUUGUACACUGCUUUUGAGUUGAAUGAAAUUGGCGCUGAGGGCGCCUUUCCCCGUUCAAAAAAAAUAGCAUGGCUAUCGAAGAGACAUAAUCAGAACUCACAUAUGUAUUUUAUUGUGUUCCAUCAGGCCACCAUUAAGGUAGCAUCUGGGUGCCCUAUAGAUUUUUACUAUUCCAUUUUUUUUGCUAUUCCAAUGACCACACAAGAGUACGCAUUUUGUUGUGUUCCAUCAGGCCACAUUAAGGUAGCAUCCGAGUACCCUAUAGAUUUUUACUAUUCCAUAUAUAUAUAUAUAUUUUGCUAUUCCAAUGACCACGCAAGAGUGUAGGGUGGAUACCGGCAGAGAGGAGGGUCUUUUCAUAGGUAGAUGCUCUGCCAAUAAAGAAAAAUGUUACAAAAAAAAUAGUGGCCUCUUCAUAGGGAUGGUCUGAAAGGACGUCAACUUAGAGCCGAAUAUGCAGGUGCUGACUCAUCACCAUGGAUGAUCAUCCUUGGUUUUUAUAAUCAAUAAUUUGGUGUUACGAUUUAUAACUUUUUCGGUGUCAAGUAAAAAUGCAUAAGGAACUCCGUUUCCAUGAUGUGAAACCCAUGCUAUUUCCUCACUAGACAACAAUACAUCACAAAAUAUUGGCUUCUCACCACACUCCAUCUCGCCGCGUGUGCAUUCUUAGCGAUGUUGUUCCAUUGCUGCUCACUAUGUCACCGCCAUUGUGGCACCGCACAUCCUCUCCUACAAAGGGAAGGAAGAACACCGGAUCACAUCUUGCCGUGUCUUGUCCUGCCUCUACAACCUUUCCAUUCACUUCGUACACGACGACCCUUCCAUCUCCAGUGAUCAACCGCGACCAGGCUCCUUACCUGACCAACUCUGAUUCAUGGCGUUGUGUAAAAUGAGUAGAAGUAUGAGGGGAGGUGUAUGGAUUCGGUGCAAGGGGUAGCUCGCGAAGGGCGGCCCACAUGUAUAGCUUGCCAAGAUUAGCUGUUAAAAAUUUGAACAUUUGCUUGCGUGGACACAAUGACAGGUGUGAGGCGAGCUCAUCGCCUCGAUAUUGACAACAUUUGGACAUGUUGUAAGCAGAUGGAUCGACAUCAUGGUCACCGUGCGGGUGGGAAGGAGGAUAAGCAGUUGGCAUGAUAUAUUUUUCUCUCCCGUUGCAACACACGGGCAUGUUUCCUAUAGUAGUAUUAUUUUUUAACUAGCAAAAGAGCCCGUGCAUUGCAACGGGAGAAAAAUAAAUACCAAAUGCCUUACCCAAUAAAUUAAAUUAGUGACGUUGCAACUAAAUUAUAUGCAAUUGUGCCUCCGAUACGGUUGUCGGUAGGCGUAAGUUGCAAUCGAGUCCGAAGAAGUUUGUUGCAAUAGUGGCAUCCGACUUUACAACAACAGUGGUCAAUAAAUAUGCUACAAGCGGGCCUCGCCGAUAGUGAGGUUGAGGAGGCGCUCAAGAGAGGGUGCCUCGCCGUCAAACAUGAUGUUCCGAUGCUUCCAAAGAAGUCGGGCGCCAAGAAGUAGCAAGCAGGAGAGCCUUUGCGGGGCAGCGAUGGCGCUGUAACGCAAGAGGUCAUGUUGCAAUCCUGGAACCAGUUGUCGAGUUGAGGAGGCCCAGGUGUGCAUCGACACCAAGAGAGGAGCUCAUGCCAGAGUUGGCUCGAGAAAGAGCAGCCGACGGGGAGGUGGUGUAUGCUCUCAGGCUCCAACCAGUGAUCCGACCAGAAACGACAUCUCGAGCCAUCGCCCAGGACACAAUAUGUGGAGGUGCACAUGAUCGCCGGAGCAUCAGGGUCGUGCGGGAUCGGGAGAUGGGACCAAGGGCGGCCAUCGUCAGUCCGCUGAAGCCAGAUCCAUUUGUCACAAAGGCAACUUUUCCUACUAAAAAAAAUGGUGGUCCAACUUUGCAGCAUGCGGUUCGCCUUAGGGCGACAACAAAAAAUAUGCGGUCAGCCUUCCAGCAUUGUGUAUUACUUGUAGCAGCAUUAAUCGGGCUUGUAGUAUCGCGUGUCCCGUUUGUUGGAGCCACACUCAAUUGAAACUACAUGUGGGUUCCAUGAAAAAAACUACAUAUGGACAACCAGAUUUUUUUGGUGGAUGUACAAACAAAAAUAUUGACAGUAUGAAAAAGCAGCACCGAAAAGAUUAGGACUCAGUACGCGCUAAUGGCGGCACACACUGCAGCUUGAUUUUCCUUACGGGGCUACACACACAGGGAAACUCAAUUAGAGCGAAUCAGCACCAUGUAUGUCCUUCCUCUAUUGGGUUAAUUAGUUAACUUGCGUGUGUAGUGCAUGCCCUUCUUUUAUUAGGGGUCUUAAUCUUUCCUAUUGGCAGGUGCGCCAUCAAGCACAAUUUAUGAGUUUAAAUUCUCCUUUGUUUCCAUAGGCAUGGAUGUUCUUCCUUUAUUGGGGGGCUAAUCUUUCCUAGUAUGCACGGAAUUAAAUUCCUUCAUUUUCAUACGCGCAUGUCCUUCCUUUAUUGAUGCACAAUUUUUUUUUAGAAUCACCGGGGGAGGAGUCCCUCCACCUGAAUAUAUUGCUCAAAGUGGCCAUAAUGCAUAAUCUUUCAUGUUGUCACCACCGUGUAGAUAAACCCCUUCCGUUUCGACACAAUAACAGCGUCCACACCUCACCCUCAAUCUUUCAUGUAGAGCUGCGUGUUUUCACUUCUUUCGAAUAGGCACCAACCUUUAUAGGUUACUGUCAAUUAGCAAAAGAAUUCAGAUUUUGCAGACAAGCAUGACCUAGUUCAGGUGAUAGUGGCCUUUUGGUUUGGUGGCGAGGUUGGGAGUUCGAUCCCUAACACAGCCAAAAUUCAGAUUUUGUUUUUGCCUCCCAUUAGAGCUGCUUUCUUCCGGCCGAAACAGUACAAAGAGGUCUCAGAAUUAGUACCACCUCGGAUAGCGAAAAUAAUAUAGAUGAAAAAACUGAAAGCGUAAAUUUACGGAAAAAAGCGUAUUAUGACGGUGAACCUAUGGAGUCAAUCCGUGCUUAUAUAUACACUAGCACAAAUGCCCGUGCGUUGCAACGGGAGAAAACAACAGUUACUAUGAACCAUGGUUGGUUAGAUCGAGGAACUAUACCACAGGAUAACAAUCGCUGGUGACAAUAAAAGGUGCAUCAUUUGAGGAUAACUGAGGGGUAAAGUUGAAAACAUGGUUAAGGUCAAUCCCCGUAAACCACCAUUCAGGGGUAACGUGAAAAAAGGGACCACUAUGCCAUGGAACUUUGGCUAAUACUAAUCUCAGUAAACCACCACUUAGGGGUAAAGUGAAAAAUAGGAAACCCAUAGAAAAACAUGCAUACUAGAAGCAUCUUCAAUAAUGCAUAUGUUUCGAGCAUUUCCCUUCAAUUCCAUCCACAAAACGAGAAACACUUUCUCCAUUCUCAAAUGACUCAGUAAGGAUUGUUGGAUGCAAAGUAGUAUCAUUUAAACGAUGAGACAUAUUUGAAUUUUUUUCGGGAUGAAUCCAAAAAGGUGGGGGUAAAAACACAUAGAGGCACUAUCGAUAGCAGAACUUUGAAAAUGCACCAUGGCAUAGUAUGUGUUACUUUCUGACAUUAGAAUAAGGUUUGUCAGUGUAGCAUUACAUGUAGUCAAGUACAGACUUCACAGUAAAACUUUGCAAGUUACCUGAAACACAAGAUAUACAGAAGGUUAAUUAGUCUAGCUGUCCUUCCUCUUUUUCCUACCACAAUGAUCUUUGAGACACGGCUUCCUAAUACCCAAAAAAAUUAUACAAAAUUGGAUAGAUUAAUGUGAGGGAGCGAGGUGGGACUAUUUAAGCAGGGAAUUAACCUACUUUGUACGGAAUAGUAGAAGGUAGCUCAGUUGGUAGUGCAUGUAAUGUCAUCAGCAUUUAUUUUUGCCUCAAACGGAUAGGUGGGCUGGACAUAACUUAUUGGGCCACAGUGCACCGGCGGCAUAUUAGGUGCCAAAGGUUUAUUGGGCACCUCACACUGUAAGAAAAAUUGACACAGUAUCAAUUAGUACCACCUCGCCUAUCAAAAAAAUAGAUAUAGAGUCAAACUAAAAGCGUAAAAUUACGGGAAGAAGCGUAUUGUGACGGCGAACCCGACAAAGUCAAUCUGUGCUUUAUUAUUACUAGGAAAAGUGCCCGUGCGUUGCAACGGGUAAAAAAAUACCCCUAAUGUCACUGGAGCAAAAACCUGCACCCUUUACUAAAGGGCACAAUGUGUAAAUGUGAGUCGGACACUGCUUAGUGAGACUCAUUCAUGGUCAAUGCUAAUGUGUGUUUCGAAGCAGUUGCUGAGAAUCACGAUCUUCACAUCAUAACAUGUUUGAUAACAUGGAAGAGGUUAAUGCUAGUAUUAAAUACAAAAUAAAAAAAUAAGGAUUCUUUUUGUGUUUGUAGGAAUUAGCAAUAUAUGAAAUGAACAUAUACACAUGUAAAUUAUCUCCAAACAUAUCAAUAUAUCACAUCGACAUAAAAAGGACUAUUGUUGUGAAAAAUGUUUGGAAACUAAAGAAAAUGAUAGUCACGAGUGCUUGCAUAGUUAGACACAUAAUUUUUUUAUCACUCACUUGAGGCAUUAAUAAGUUGUAAAGUUUUUGGAUGUACCAAACUCAAUCUAUUUCAGCAUUGUAAAUGGUAUAGUUGAUUCUGAACCACCCUAUCAUACCACCAAUAAUUAUGUUAGCAUAUAUUUUUAGAACAACAUAUUAUCAAAUAUAUGUAUUGACUGAAAAAAUAAUAAAAAUUAAGGAAAUAGUUUAGUCCUCAUAUAUAUGUCUAGGGAAUGUAGUUGUCAGAACCCAUGCAUAACAACGGGAGUCAUGUAUUAUCAUAGGUCUUGAUUAACAUUCAAAAUGCAUAGAAAUAAAUAACUACAACAGUUAGGUUACAAUUUUCCCUUGGAAGGAAAGCUAGUCUGGCAGAGAACAUUUAGAUCAGUAGUCAUGUGAUGAUGUAAAGCAAAAAAACAUCCACUUAGCUAUCCCACUAUAACAAUUGUUUGACAACAAAUUUCAUGGGUACAUCGGACAAAUAAAAACUUCACAUGGCGCUCCCCCGCAAGGUGAUGCGGAUCUCACUCACUAUGGUGGAGACCGACGCGAGGCGCCUCCGGCAGAAGAAUGCGAAGGCGGCACACCACACCCAGGAGCAGCAGAGCCGCGCCACGCCAUCCGCCUCGGAGGUGAUGGACUGCUGCGCUGCCGGCCAUAAUGGUAAUGGCUCGUCCACGAAGUGGUGUCUUGCCCUCCACAUUGUCUUUUUUAUUAGUAGCUAGUUUAAUCCAAUGAGCUUUGUCUAACUCCUCUCGCUCAGCCCACAAUCUCUCUGUUUGCACACCCGUCUUCAUUGCAAAUGCGUCUCUUCAUUCGGUGUAGCUGUUUUGAUUAGGUACUUCAUCAUGGCCAGCUUGUUGAUAUUUCAGACAAGUUACAAGCGUUUAUAAAUUGGUGGAAAUUAGUAUAAAAAAGCAAGGUGGGACUAUUCAACAAAAGAUAUGCAUGCAUCAUAUUUUAUACAAUAAAAUCUGAAACGUGGCUUCUAGCCCAUAAGAGGCCCAGUAGUGCAUCGUGCCAGGAGAAGGCCUCAUACCACAUUACGUCUGAGAGUCUGUUCCCCGAAUUAGUACCACCUCGCCUAUAUGUUUUAAAUUUAAACUGAAAGCGUAAACUUACGGGAAGAAGCGCCCAGUAAUUAUGACUCAAUACCAUAAUUGGUCCAUGUUCUUUAUUUCCACAUGGCAUCUUAUCUGUGUCGCCUUUUAUCCUCCUUCCCACCUUCCCCAACUACAUAGUUAAAAAACCAAACCGAUGAUCGAACCGAUGAGGCCGUCAUCGGUUGAGGUUUAUACUGGUCGAAUCGCCAGUUCACCAAUUCGAUGUCUUGUUUUUUAUAUCAUAAUUAAUUGGUUUUAUGUAUUAGUGUUACAUACUAAAUAGGAAACAUGCCCGUGGGUUGCUACAUGUAUAAGAAUAAAUAAAUACGCAUGUACAUUAAACUUAAAAAAAGCUCAAACAACUUUACAAAUGGGAAAACAAUAUUAAAGUACUCAAAAGUACCAAGGACCAUUCUUAAAAUGAAAAUCCAUCAUUGUUUUGAUUAUAGGUUUAACUUCCAAUAAAUUGAUCAACGCGGGUGAGCUAUAUAUACACAACCAAUUUAACUUUCAUCUACGCCAGAUAUGAGUACAUGCUUAUAUAUGUGCGCAUGGGUUCAGACAAAAUUAACUGCACUGCCAUGAAAUAAUAUUACAGAAACAACAACUUGAACAUAUAUAAUAGUAGCGUAUUUGCUUUUACAAUUGGGGAGCUCACUCUGUAUUAAAUUAUUUUCUAUUAAUAAAAAUACUAGCUAAAUACCCGUGCGUUGCUACGGUGACAACAGUAAAAUAUCGGUAAUUGCAUUUGGCUCCUAGGUGCAUAUGCACCCAUUGUCGAAAUCCAAAUUCCGAGAAGUUAAAAAAUUCGAAACAAAAAUCCCGCGUGUAUAUCCGGACAUUUUAUGUGCGUUCACAAGGUUUCAGUGAAAAACGACGUUUUUUGUGGCUUGUGUAAAAAAGAUAAAGAAAUGCCUCGUGAAUAGUUAGAAUGAAGCAUCAGAAAUUGUCUUUUUUACACAAGCCACAAAAAACGUCGUUUUUCACCGAAACCUUGUGAACGCACAUAAAAUGUCCGGAUAUACACGCGGGAUUUUUGUUUCGAAUUUUUCAACUUCUCGGAAUUUGGAUUUCGACAAUGGGUGCAUAUGCACCUAGGAGCCAAAACGCCACUCUCGUAAAAUAUACUGUAUAAUACAUUAUGAAAAUAGUCUCUUGUCUCUUAUCGAUUAUCGUGUACUCCUCGAAACCCACUUUAUCCGUGCGACAUCUCAUUCUAUUAUGCCUACCCUGCAAAAUAUCAGUGUGUUGAUCACUCCUUCGAUCCUUGCCACUACACACAUUGGUUCUUUCAUACACAAAUAUCUUUAUCAUGGAAUUUGUUCCCACCGUUUUUCCCAGAAUUAAGUACAUAAUUUGUGCGAGAGGAAUGUUUGAUAUAUAAUCAGCAUAACAAAUCAAUCGAUAGAAUGUUGCAAAAUAAGUAGGACUUGGGAAGAUAUCCAUCGAAUUUUGGUUCAAAUAUAAAUUUUUAUUCCUCUUUCCCUUGUGUUCCUAUUUGGCUAAGUCCUGGAGUUAUUGCCUUUGUCUGUUCAAAGCAAGUGCAGAAACUUCAAAACCAUACUUAGUUGGAGACAUUGAAAAUAAAACAUGGACAACACGUCAACAUCUUACAAUCUGACAAUGAUAUAUAAGAAACAUAUAUUCAAAGUUGCCUGCAUGCUUUGUCAUCACCGAAGGAAAUUUGAACAACACAAGGGGACAGAUGUAUACUGGAUGAUAAAUUAUUUAUAUGCAACAACACAACGUCAAGUUUUCAGAUCAUGUAAUUUAUCCAGUAGGCGUUCAUUCAAUUUUCAACAUUCGUUGAAAAACUAUAGUUCUCCCGGUUGCUCCCUCUCCGGAAAUCACCAUUUCCCUUUCUCCCUCCCAACUCAAUUUUUCGUGGGGAUGGGUUUGGGAAGGCAAAACCCAGUGGGUUUCGUCCCUGUUGCCAUAUUGACCCCCAACCCUGAAGAAGAUAAAGCAUGAUGAUGGUCUUCCUCACCUUUGGCACAUCUCUGCCCUUCCUCGUUUCUGCCUCGGGCUCGCAGCUGCUUUUGUUACAUGUGCACUCUUUAUACAACUCCAAUGAAUUCCAGGUUCUUGUUGCUUCUUAGAAAAAAUGGCUACACAUGAAGGCCACACCAUAAUAUAGAAUUAAACAGGGGACAUGUGGUAAUCUCAAAGUCCCUGCAACCCACAAACAGUAACGUGAACAAAUGUGCAAUUAGCAUUGCCUCUGGCUUCACAUCAUUGAGUACAAAACCCGACGCCAAAGUUUGUUCUUUUUUUUAGCAAAGGGUAUAGUAAGAAAGCAGUGAACAUGUAAAAAUAGCACCCACAUGUUGAGCACUCACACGUGUGGACCAUCCUGUUGCACCAGCUAAACGCCGGCCGUUGAAAGCAUGGUCGAGCCCCCCUUUCCCGAGCUUCCUCUCAACCGUGUACUCGGGAGAUCUUCCUAUCUGGUCCUAAUAAGAUGAAAGGAAGUUACCAUCAAUUUUUGGUUCUCAUUCGACACAAGAUUGACAGUUUGCCGUAUGUGUUUCACUUCAGCUUGGACCAAUUCUGUUGUCGCACCAACAGCUUGCACUGUUGCUGAAUAUGUAAAGUCUUUCUCUAUACAGUAUUUACUUCAAUCACAUGCUUCAGAUUUCCGUAGAAAAAAAGGCUCUCAAACACAUAGGUUUGCAUCAUAGAACUAUAAAGCUAUUAGAAGCAUUGUAGUGGAGUAAUCACUUCCAUCAGAAUAACAACCAUCCUAAUUCUGUGAAUUUUUUCUAAUGAUGCAUCACAUAGUUAUCUUACAAUAGACAUAGUAUGUCAACACCUACAAUUAUUAGUGCAGGACCUACAUACCAUCUAAGAACUAAGAAAAUGCAUCAUGUUCUAAUUGACUCUUUCUGCCGGUAGCAUGUUCAGUUGACUCUGCUCAAUGUAUAUAUGUGUUAAGGUUUGCUAUAUUUAGAAAGUAAUGUCUACCAAACAAACCUCCGUUUGAAAAUUAAAAUUGACAAAACAAUGCGUAAAUUGGGAUAUUUUUCUGAAAAUAGCGACAUAAAGCUAUUGUGCUGCAACAAUAGCAAUAAAAGAUGAAGAUGCCUUAAUGUGUAAAGAAAUCUGAUUGAUCUCCUUGGCAUCCUCCUAUAGCAGGAACGUGUAUUAAAAGUAUAAAUCUCUAUUAUCCAUCAUUCAAAAAAAUCUCAAUUACCUUUGCAAAAAGCAUAUCUUAAUGCAAGAACUCUGUAGUGAGGCUUUGCCUGUUACACAGUGCAAUGUCUGUUUUCGCACCAGCAGCUUUGAGUCUGCUGCUGAAUAUGCGAAGUCUUUCUCCGUCCACUGUUUACUUCAACCACAUGCUUCAGAGUUCCGUAGCAAAAACGUCUCCUGAACACAUAGGUUUGCAUCAUAUAUAGAACUAUAGAGCUAUUAGAAGCAUUGUAGUGGAGUACUCACUUCCAGCAAAUUAAUGUCCACCCUAAUUCUUUCAUUUUUUUCUCUAAUAAUAUAUCAUCCAUGUCGUUCUACAAAGCAAACCUCCGUUGUUUGGAGAGUCUUUUGCUACAUGUGAACAAAACCUACAUGCUAUACAUGCAAAAAUGUUACUGAACUAAUGUGACUACCGUAAAAAAUUAUUUUUCAAGGGCCUGCGUCACUUCCACUAAGGUAUAGCUGUAAAAAAUGUACAAAACAAAAGUACAGAUAACUUCCACCCUGUAGUAAUGAAAACCCAGCUCAGCUCUUCAUGUCGCUCUUGCUCCUGCCGGAUUUGUAGCUCGCUCUCCCGGUGACGUCCGAUGCCGGCUUUGGCGACGGGCGUUGCUCCCCUCCCUGUGAUCGGCGACUUCAACAUGUGUUUCAACUUCCUCCACUCUGCCUCGGUGGCUUGGGAUUGCUCAGACAAAGACCAAGGCGAAAUCCCUGCUCGGUUUGCCGGUGCUGGUAGCGGCGACACCUGCGGGUGUCGUCCCCUUCUUGGAGGCGCUGCCAUGGUCUCCGUCUUAGCCCCUCUUCGAGCAUCAGGGGAAACCCUAGGUCCGGACUUCUGGACCGGACGACGACGGCGCCUUGGCGUUGUUCCCCUUUUUGAAGGCGUCGUCUUGCUCGCUCGCGGCGUCCCCGACGGUGGAGUUGGACGCUAGUUGUCUUCACUGUGUUCGAGUUACUUCUCAGGGCUAGGAGAGUUUGCCGUGUUGUUCUUUUCAUUUCUUUGGGCUGGGCAUCCCAUGUCCCUCUGCUCCGGGCACCAUGUCGUCUGUGCAUGUGUUGUUCAUUCCCUGUAUUCACUCUUCUUCUUCUACCAAUGAAUGAUACGCAAGCUUUGCAUAUUCGCGAAAAAAAGAAUAUAUUUUUCUCUGAACAGUAGAAUGUGAAUACCAAUGCUAACAAAACUGAACCGGGAAAAAAAGUGGAGUGAAUUGGGUCAUGCUGAUAGGCUUAGGGAGCGACUACCCCGUCGCAUUUCCCCAAAACCUCAUCUUGCUCUCCAUGCUCUCCCCUUCUUCCUUACACCAAUGCCGCUACUUAGUUUCCUCCAACUUCUCUAUCGCUCUUUCUGCGUCACCACUGCCACGCCUCUUCCUUCUCUGUUGUUGGUGGUGGCACAGCCAACACCGUCGCUUUUGGAACUCCACUUAAUAGUAGACAAAAUAAUCUGUACUUGGGAUAUUUAAAAAGUAGCAACUGUAAAGAUAUUUAUGCGUUUGGGAUAUUUAAAAAGUAGCUCUUCUUCUAGAAAAGUACCCUGUAGCUUAGCUUUAUUUCCAGUUAUAUAGUAAAAUUCUGAAGAAAAUUUGAUGAGGUAAUAUAGCAUACAUGUUAGUCAAAUGCAAGAACUUAGAAGUUCUGUUUUUAGCUAUUCAGUCAGACAGAACAUAUAUUAGAUCACAACAGAUAUGCAGGUUUUGAAAAAUAAUUGGCACUAUAAGUCUCUCCCGCUACUCUGUUCUAUAAUAGCAAGGAAAGAGCAGGCAAUUGAACAGAAUACGGCCAUGUGUGUCGAUGGUCAGGAUUCAUUACUGUAUGUCUACUUUACUGUAACAGUUCAAAGAUCACAGUAAAUCACACAUUCAGUAUUAUUACUUAUUAGCACCAUAUGGACCGAAUCCAGUGCCAACAAGAAGCUAGAACAAACUUAACCACAUCAAAUUCGAUACUGGUAGAGCAACAACUCUAUAUCUACCAUACUGGGUGGUUUGACAACCAAAGACAUUGCUGAAAUUUGCUGAAAAAAACUCCUAUCAAUAUCUGAUGAACCUGUCGCAUGGUCCUUCACCAGAGACUUUACAACCUCGUGCUAGCAUAGGUGUGUCAUCAUCUUCAGUGAGCAUGUACUCCAGCUGGUCCUGGACAAUGUACUUGGGCAGUUGGGCUCCCGUGCUAUCGUUGACAGCCCAGACGCCGUAUGGUGAAAUACCUAGAGGAAGAUGGCGGCCGCCGGUGUCGGAUCUGCCGGCGGAGGCGUGCUAGGACAUUAUUGUACUGGGCGCUGAAUCACCAAAACGUGGUCAUACCAAACACAUGAACAACUACCGAUCCAGAAGAGGAAUCACAUACUUGGAGAAUAGCUCUCGUGGAGGCGGCCACCGCGAUCGCCCCCCACAUUCGCAGCGCUGUCGACCUUGCCGCGCUCCUACCAUUGUCGAUGCCGACCAAGGGAAGAAGUUCUUCCCGACCCGAUGUGCGCGCCCAUGAGAGUGGACGUAGGCGAUGGACGGCAACGCAUCGCACUGCGGUGCGACGAGAAGGAAGGAAAGGCGGCCGUGUGAGAGCGGUAUCGCCGGCUGGCGGUGCUGGGUUGGGGAUGUGGCUCGGCUAGAGAUGGGGGGCGCCCCGCGAUCGGAACAGCAGCCUGGGGGACGGGAGGCGGGUAGAAAGCAGGGGUGCGUGGGCGUGAGGUCGGAUUGGAUUGGAUGAGCUCGCGUGUUGGGAUGCCCAAGUUCGUGGGUUCGUGGGUCAUAACCGCAGGGAGUUUUGUGGAUCUUUCGUCGCUGUUUUUUUUCGUGGGGCAGCGAUAGGAGUAGGAGGUCGAACCAUCACGACGUUCGAUCCCCUUUAAUAGUAGAGAUAUAUUUGGAUCUCCAAGACUCCAACUAAUCCUAGAGGCUGGGCUUGGCGGGCUCAAGUUGUAAAUCUGACACUUCAUAUAUUUACUGUAUAUGCAAAGUAUGUACGAAAUAGAAAUAUCGGACAAAAAUAAGAUGUGUGUAUGAAUUGCUAUAAACAAAAUAUGCAAAUAAUUUAAAUUGUUAAACAUUGAGAUAAAAGGAGGUAUAUCUCAUGGACGAAUUUGUGAUUAGAUUGUUUGUGUGUAUUACAUACGCUGCAAAACUAAUUGUCAGAAUAUUACAAGUAUUAAACCUGCACUGUUAGCCACGAAGCAUUAUGUGAUCUUGGCAAGCUGGCACCUAGCUUUAGCUUUCUUACAGGUGAUGCUGCCGAGACAAAAGCAUUAUAGACUUUCAUUGGUUUGGCCACAUUGGAAAAAUCAGUUCGCGAGGUAGUAACUGUACCUCCCCUCGGACGAAGUCAGGUAGGUACGUAUUUGGUUUCUUGGUGCCUGGUCGUCCGGCAGGAGAGGUAGAGAUUAGUGACCACCAGCGCAGCCGAUCCAGGCAGCACAGCCAGGCGCGACGUCGGCGCAACGAGUUCCCUGUCAUUUUCUGUGGUGGGGAUCCCGGUCAAGCCUCCACAGGCGCCGGUCUAGGGCUGAUCCGUUCAUGCACUCGUCGUGGCUCCAGGGCACAUCACAUGGGCGGACGACACGGAAGCCCCUAGCCUCGAUUUGGUUGAGGGUCCGUUUGAGGCUGGAACCCGUCGACAAGGGCGGACUGGGCGAUUCGCUCGAAGCCAGCCGUCCUCGGUCCGGAUGAGCUGGGCUCCUGUGAUGUUGUCUGCCUUUUCCCGUUCAUGGUGAGUUCCUCACAUCAUCAUCGAAGAUCCAACGCGUAAGGAAACCGACUUAGGAAGGAAAGAUCAAUCAUGACGUGAUCGAUCCGGAGUUGUGGUGACGCGAGUCAGGAGGAACGCUUUUGCUGGGCUUGGCUGAUCGAUCGGAUCGAGUUCAGGUAAGAACCAGGUCGGACGGACAUUACGAUUUUGUCUAUAUAAAUCAUAAAAACGUAUUAUGACAUGAGAAGAAAGCGUAUUGUGACGGUGAACCCGACAAAGUCAAUCCGUGCUUUAUUAUUAGGGAGAGACUAGCAAAAGUGCCCAUGCGUUGCAACGGGUGAACAACAAAAAAGAUGAGAAAAUUUAUAGACCCAAAAUAAAAUAAUUCGAGUUCAGGCAAAUUGCACCAAUAUUAUCCAUCAGUUUUACAGAUUGAGAAUUAAGAAUAAAUGAUGCAAGAGAGCAAAGAAUACGAGACAUCAAAUUUAUGACAAAAAAAAUAGACCAAUGAUUUUUAAUGAUGUCGGUAGUCAAUCCCCCUACGGGGGUGUGCGUUGCAACGGGAGACACAAAAAAUACAUGCUAGCCAAAUAAGUAUGACUUAAUAUCCAGACAUAUGAGUGUUCUCUAUUUUAACACGGUGGCUCACCAUGUUGCCACGUAUCUUUCUUCUCACUCUCGUUGAUGAUGGACACAAUGUCCACGUGAUCAUAAUGCAUUCGACGUGAUAAAUCCCUAUGCAAUGAGCUUGUCACUGCACGAAACACUUGCCAUUGUCUCGCGCAAGGGAAUAUUUAAAUCUUUAAAAACAAAUCUCAUCGACCACGAACUACUCUCAAUGCCUAGACAUAUAGACUUUCCAAAAACCUAUCAAAUCCUAGACAUAAAAUACUUCUGAAUCGGCGAACAGUUUUUUGAAUCGACAAACAUCUUUUUGAAAUUAGGACAUCUUUAUAAAAUCACGAACAUUUGUUUUGUUUAGAGAAACAUUUAUUGAAAUGCAUGAAUAGUUUUUGAAUUCAUGAAUAUUUUUUGACUUAGCUAACAUUUUUUGAAUUGAUGACUUUUUUAAAUUGGGGGCUGAAUUUUGAAUUUCACAAAAGACAUAUAAUUUUUUGAAUAUUUUCUAAAAAAAUUCAUGGACAUUUUUUCCAGAUUCACGAAUAUGUUUUGAAUACACAAUCAUUUUUUUCAAAAUCAUGAACUGAUUGUACUUCCUGACAUGUUUUUCCAGAUUGUGAUUUUUCAUAAUUUGUGAACAGUUUCGUAAAAUCACCAAUAUUUUUUGAAACAGCGAAAAUUUUAUUAUUUCCUGAAGUUUUUUUUAAUUCACUCAUAUUUUAUAAUUUCUCUGAAAAAUUAUAACUGAAAACUUUUUAUAAUUUCGAAUUGUCAAAUAAAUUUAAAGAAGGAAAAACUAAAACAGAAAUGAGAAAAGAAAAGAAAAGACAAAAUAAAAAAAAACAGGAGCGUCACGGCCUACCGGCCGGCCCAUGAAGGCGUAAGGUGUAGAGGAGGUGCCUAAGAAAAAAGGAGGCAAAAGAAGGGUACUACCAGGAUUCGAACCCUGGUCUGCUGUGUAGAAGCAACAGCCUCUAGCCACUACGAUGGUAGUGUGUGUGUCAUAAAUAGGGCAUCGCCUUUAUAAAACCACUGAGCACGGCGGCGCCUUUGAAAAUAAAAAAAGAAUCGUUUUCUUAACUUACGGGUGGCAUAGCGGGUAAUUUAUAGCUAAAUUCGGGGGCAAUUAUUUGGACGAACGACCAGAAACACUAUUUGCUUUAUUAUUACUAGCAAAUAUGCCCGUGCGUUGCAACGGGAGACAAAAAAUUAUGGCUAACCAAAUAAGUAUGACUCAAUAUCCUGAUAUAUAAGCGUACUCUAUUUUAACAUAGUGGCUCAUCAUGUUGCCAUUUUUUUACCCUAGCCGAUGAUGGCCGCGAUGUCCACGUGAUCACAAUGCAUUCGACGCGGUAAAUCCCAAGGCUAUGAGUUCGCCGGUGCAUGCCACACGUGUCAUUUUGUUGCGCAAGGGAACGUUUAAAACUUUAAAAACAAAUCUCAUUGACCACGAAAUACUCCCAACGCCAAGACAUAUAAAGACUUUCGAAAAACUAAUCAAAUCCUAGACAUAAAAUACUUUUGAACCAGUGAACAAUUUUUCGAAUAGACAAACAAUUUUUUUUGAAAUUUUUGAUUUUCUCAAAAAAAUGAUAAAGAUUAGUUUUCUUUACAAAAGAAUUUAAAUGUAUGAACCGGUUUCGAAUUCAUUAACAGUUUUUGACCCAACAAACAUUUUUAGAACCGAUGAAUUUUUUUAAAAUUAUGGAACAAAUAUUUAUUUUUAUUUUUGUGAACAUUUUCUAAAAUGUCAUGAACAUUUUUUUCAGAUUCCCGAAUAUGUUUUGAAUACACGGUCAUUUUUUUAAAAUCAUGAACAUGAUUUUAUUUGCCGACCAUUUUUUCUAAAUCAUGAUUUAUUUAUAAUUUUGCGAACAGUUUUGCAAAACCACCAACAUUUUUUUAAUCUGCAAAAUUUUUAUGAUUUUCUAAACAUUUUUGAAUUCACAUAUAUUUUAUGAUUUCUCAAAGAUUUUUUUUUGAAAAAGCGCAACUUUUAAAAUAUUCAAAUCCCAAAUUAAUUUAAAGAGAAAAGAAGAAAGAAAACAGAAUGAGAAAAAAAAGUAAAAUGAAUAAAAAACAGGGAAGUGAAGUCCCACACAUGCGUGAGAAAAGAAAGAUAAAAAUUGCAAAACAGGGGAUCAAACCCUGGUCUGGUCGAUAGAGGAGCGAUCGGCCAACCACCCUGGUGCGCCUCAUCCUGUUACAUUUACUCGUCGCACCACUAUAAAACAAUGAACGGGGCGGCGAUAUUUGGUCCGAAUAUUUGAAUCGUUUUUUCACUUAUGGGUGGCAUUGGUGGGUAAUUUUUACUAACUUGGAGGGUAAUUUUAAUGACGGACGACCAGAAGCAAUAGCCNNNNNNNNNNNNNNNNNNNNNNNNNNNNNNNNNNNNNNNNNNNNNNNNNNNNNNNNNNNNNNNNNNNNNNNNNNNNNNNNNNNNNNNNNNNNNNNNNNNNNNNNNNNNNNNNNNNNNNNNNNNNNNNNNNNNNNNNNNNNNNNNNNNNNNNNNNNNNNNNNNNNNNNNNNNNNNNNNNNNNNNNNNNNNNNNNNNNNNNNNNNNNNNNNNNNNNNNNNNNNNNNNNNNNNNNNNNNNNNNNNNNNNNNNNNNNNNNNNNNNNNNNNNNNNNNNNNNNNNNNNNNNNNNNNNNNNNNNNNNNNNNNNNNNNNNNNNNNNNNNNNNNNNNNNNNNNNNNNNNNNNNNNNNNNNNNNNNNNNNNNNNNNNNNNNNNNNNNNNNNNNNNNNNNNNNNNNNNNNNNNNNNNNNNNNNNNNNNNNNNNNNNNNNNNNNNNNNNNNNNNNNNNNNNNNNNNNNNNNNNNNNNNNNNNNNNNNNNNNNNNNNNNNNNNNNNNNNNNNNNNNNNNNNNNNNNNNNNNNNNNNNNNNNNNNNNNNNNNNNNNNNNNNNNNNNNNNNNNNNNNNNNNNNNNNNNNNNNNNNNNNNNNNNNNNNNNNNNNNNNNNNNNNNNNNNNNNNNNNNNNNNNNNNNNNNNNNNNNNNNNNNNNNNNNNNNNNNNNNNNNAAUGCCCGUGCGUUGCAACGACAUGGAAUCUUGCAAAAUCUACUCAAUGUGUCAUUAGAUACAAUUUUUUAAUUUGAGUUGGAAUCACUGUGACUUAUUGAAGUUAUCACGCCGGUAGGCUUGAAAUAAAACAUGGGCAACUUUGUUUGCCGAACGACGCACCCAACAAACCUUGGACUCCAUGAAGUUCUAAAAAGUUCAUUAUCAUUACGCACCAUUUCUUAUAUUCAGUUUUAAUAAACGUGAUUGUUGUUUCUCGGCUGAAUAUUGGUCAUUAAGAAGCCACCUCGAUAUUCUUCGCCUGACUGAAGAAUAAUUCAUGGAAUAGUCCCUAAUUUUUUUGUUUCUUUUCGGAAAACAUGAUUUUUUAAUAAAACGAAAUGAUCUAUUAAAAAUAAAAAAUAAUAGCAUUUUUCUGAACAUUUCUAAAUGCAUUUUUUAAAUGUAACAACUUUUGGGAAUUUUGACCAGUUUUUAUAAAGUGUGAAUAUAUAUAACUGUGUGCUUAUUAUAAAACGAUUUUUACUAUGUUGGGAAUUUUUAGAUAUAUAAGUUUGUUGUACUUUUCAUUUUUGUUUUCUGUUCCUGUUUUAUUUUAUGUUAUACUAAUUUGCGAUUACAAAAAGGUUCUAAGAUUGCAAAAAACAUUGUUAGUUUUGACUUCUCAAAAACAGUUCUUGAAUUCAAAAAAUGUCCAUGAUUUCAAAAAAAUUAAAAAUAUAUUUUCAUGAACAAUUUUUUAUUUUUACGGAAAAAAUUAUAAGCAUUCUUUUAUAAUGAUGAACGUUUUUUAAACUUGAAUAACAACUUUUAAAUUCGGUAAAGAAAUGAAUUUGUUGGACUUUUUUUUUAAAUGAUGAACACAAUUUUAAUUUAAUGAACAUUUUUUUAGGUCGGUGAACAAAUUUUAAUGAACAUUUUUAAAUCCGAUGAAAAUAUUGAAUUUGAUGAACCCUUUUUUGACAUAGAUGAACAUUUUCUGAAAUUCGAUGAACAAAAAAUUCUUCGCGAAAUUGAAAAGAAAUUUCACAAAAAAAUUGAAAAAGUUAAGAUGAGAAAAGAAGAAAGAAAAAGUUGAAAAGAAAAGAAAAUGAAGGGAAAAAAGAAAGAAAAAGAAAAUAUGAAUAAAAAAGCAAAAAAUGGGCUUGCCCAUGAGAACUCCCAGCGCGGGAGGGGUGGUGUGCGCGGUAGCGCCAUAUAGGCUUCCCCCAUAGAGAACACUUGGUAUUAAAAAAAGGGAGUGUCUAUAUUACAAACGACUGAAAUUGAAUUGGCCUUCAAAAAAAAACCAACCAGUAAAAAUUUGAGACCAACUGAAAAAAAAACUUGACUGAAAAUAAAGGGGCAUUCAACCAAUUUUUUCAGGCACAACAAACAUGGCACGUGUAUGUAUGACCUAUGCUCUCUAUGAUCCAUGAGCAAGCAAUGAAAGGGCCCAAAAAGCAACACUGCCAUGUCAGUACUCUUACGACGUUCUCCAGGUUAUUGACAGUUUUGUUUUCUUCACAAUACUAUUGGAACAAAACCUGAAAUUGUCAUGGCAUUCUCAAGGAUAUGAAGUUGAUACUUGUGGAAGAAACUCCUAAACACAAACAUACUAUAAAUUCAUAAUUGGGCUGCCGUAAAAUCAUCAUCAACCUGCUGUACACUGAUCAACACAAGAUGAGCUAAUCACAUACUAAACAUUUCAUCGUUAUGAAGCUUUAAAUAAAGUGGCUUCAGUUGAAAUUUACAGUCAUCUCACUAUGAAUAAACAGUAACUUUUAAAGUGUAUCACAUAUUCAGCUUUGAGGAAUUUUACAGUGUUCAUUUUAUUAAAAUUCCAGUCAAUAACAACCAAAUCACAACAAAGAUAUUGGAACUUCAGUAAAAAUAAGGAGAAACAACCAUUAACAAUGUGUGCUUUAUGAUCAGAUAAGAAUGAGAAAGAGGAUGGAGGAAGAAGGGGACAGAAUAGCUACACAAUCAGGAAACUACAGUCACACCAAGAAGACAAACUAUAGGUCAGUACUCUCACAAUCUCCUUCAAAUAGUUCUUCCAGUAAAAAAUGUAGCACUGUAAAUUCAGGUAACUGUAUAGUGUAAAAUCUAUCACUGUAAAAUUCAAAAAUCACAACCUUUAGGCUACAACUAUAAAUUACAGAAGUUAUAGGAUUGUAGAACUUCAAACAGGGUGGUGUAAAUUCAAACAUAAGGUCACUGUAAAUUCAAACAAUCAAAAAAAUUAUAGUGCGGUAAAUUAUAGAAGCCAUAGGACAGUAAAUCCAUCAUCAGGUUAGUCAUCAAUUAACUAUAAUUUACUACGAAUACAAACAAAAAAGUAGACUUCUACGAAUACUACAGUACUGUAAAAUCCGAAGGUUGAGGUCGGUCGUGGCGCCCAUGCAUUGCAUCAGAAAAAAAUCGCACGCCCUUAUGGUUGUCCGGAUCUUCUACUUGAAGACGGCUAAUCAUUACGCCGUCGUUCCAAGCUCUUCCUCGCUUCCCUCAUUGUUUGAUAAUCUAUCUAGACCUUUUCUAAUGGAUCACUUGGCAUGCUGUUUACAAAGCACAUAUCAGCACACUAUAACACUGCCAAUAGUAUUCAUACAUGGAAAGCCCACGCAACGUUCAAUCCUUCUUUACCGGGUCUUUCUCUUAUUGUCACGUUGUAACCACACCCCUUAACCCUCUACACAACUGUCAUUCCUUGUUCACCGGGUCUAUCAUUUGCCACGUUAUACCCACACCUCACCUCCUGCUGUUCUAUAUUUGUAAGAAUCUUGUUGAUCCGCUAAGCAUCUUGUUUCAGUAGAUAAGUCGAGUUGUAUAGCCGUCUAACUCGUAUUAUCAUUGGUGCUUACUGAACCACAUAAGAAUUGGACUCUUGUGAUCCUGAAUAAUGAACUGAAUCUGUGACAAAAAAUGCUCAACAUUAUGAAUAUUUAAUUAAAAAAAUCAGGACCUGAACGAUUAUAUGCAUAAGCCUGAUGGUUGCAUAUAAUACAAAGAUUGUUGAACCGGUGAUUGCUAAGAGGUCAGUUUGUAAGGAAACUGUAGUAGAAUUUGAUAAUUCUAAGCUUGUAAGGAAACCUGGGUAGAGAAAUGACCUAUUGGGUGUCGCCUUCUAGGAAAUCUACCCUGUUCUGAAGGCUUGUGUAGAUGAAUUAUUUUCUAUGUGAAAAGAUAUACCUGUACACGCUUCGCCUUUGCCCGCUAAUAGCGGCUAAGAAGCAUGAUCAGCUAGAUCACCAUCACUGGAUUUAACCAGAACAAAAAGCAAACCAUUUUAUACAUGAAUAUCUAUAUGACUGCAGUCAGAACUAAAAGUGCCCGAUUUUAAAUAUGGGUUGGGUGGCCUGCAGGAGUGCAGUACUUGAGAGACUAUGCUAGUGUAGUAAACACAAAUUUGGCCAGUCAACUUCUAUAGGGAAUGCAAAACACUUAUGAAAUAAGAAACAGAGAACAUCUAAGCAGAAAUAAGGUACAUGUUUGCUUACGAAUGGUACUAACAUGAUAUAUUUUCUGCCCGCCGGUAAGUUAUCAAGCAAGAUCAUCAAAUGCUUCUUUGUAGACCACAUUGUGAGUAUUGCCAAUAGUUUUCAGGAGAGUUAUUUUCAGUCAAAGCUGGAACAUGAAGACUGACUAAGAAAUACUCACAUCAGUCAAAAUAAGAAUCCUGGGCUGAAAAUUUGAGAUGUACAUAACUACUAUAAUGUAGCAACGAACCCAUGCUCUUUUUUCAUUAUCACUGCUGCUUUUUGACACUCAAGCGGACAUUUGUAUUGGCAACUAUAAGAAAACUGAAAAAUAUAUUAGAUAGAGCGGGCGGUGAGGUCCCAGGUGGGGGGAGGGGGGGAGGCGGCAGGGUGGCACUCGGUAGGCAGAGCGACCGAUGACGGUGUGGUCGCGUGCGAAAUCAUAGUCAGAACUUUGCAUUUGAAGGUACACGCUCAAAGGAAAAAAAUUGCUCAGUGCCAAAAGUAUCAAAUGCCUAAAACUGAAAAUCACAUCCUGAACUGAGCAUUUUAUUAAGAAUCCGCAAAAUAAGUUAAAGACAACAGUACGAGAACAGGUGAACGGUGAUCUGAUUUCAACACAAAAUACUCAUGAAGAAAUAAAAUGGGUGGACAGUGAUUUGGUUUCUAAGCAUAAAAUUGAUAAUGUUUAUGCCACACAUUAAGCACAUAAUGUGUGUGUAUUUGGAGCCUGAAACAUCUACCAACUAAAACUACUCCCAAAGGCAAUCUUCUAGUUCAAUCUUAAGACGUAACACAUAAAGCUACAGACUACAAUUUUGAGGCAC